This 2817-nucleotide ribosomal RNA is filed under the name Triticum aestivum (bread wheat). RNAcentral's name for it is "partial small subunit ribosomal RNA". The record is from RNAcentral. Lineage: Eukaryota; Viridiplantae; Streptophyta; Magnoliopsida; Poales; Poaceae.
AUGACGACCCGGCGGGUGAGGCGGCGCACGUGCAGGGACAAGGGGAAGGGGAAGGAGGUUGUGGAGGACGGGCGGGCGGUGGAGGCGGGCUCAUCGCCGCCGCGGGACUGGGCGCCGGCGGGGGAUGGGGAUGGGGGCGGCGAGGCGGUGGCCGGCGAGGCCGUGGACUGGACGCUGCUUCCGGAUGACACGGUGCUGCAGCUAUUUGGCCGGCUGAGCUACCGCGACCGCGCCAGCUUGGGGGCGACCUGCCAGACGUGGAGGGGGCUCGGGUCGUCGCCGUGCCUGUGGAGCACGCUCGACCUCCGUGCCCACCGUUGCGACGCUGAGGUCGCCUCGUCGCUGGCCUCGCGAUGCGGGGGCCUGCAGCGGCUGCGGCUGCGGGGCCAUGAGGCGGCUGUGGCGGUGGCCUCCGCCCUCGGCGCCCGCGACCUCCGAGAGGUGGUGGCCGAGGGCUGCAGGGGACUCACUGACGCCACCCUUGCAGUCCUCGCCGCUCGACACGAGGCGCUGGAGAGCCUCCAGAUCGGUCCAGACCCCCUUGAGCGCAUCUCCAGCGACGCCGUCCGCCAUGUCGCUCUUUGCUGCUCCCGCCUCCGUCGCCUCCACCUCUCGGGUCUCCGUGAAGUUGACUCUGAUGCCAUAGGAGCGCUGGCGCGCUACUGCCCCCUCCUUGAGGACGUCGCCUUGCUCGACUGUGGCACUGUAGAUGAGGCUGCCCUUGGUGACAUCCACUCCCUCCGAUUCCUCUCUAUAGCAGGAUGCUACAACGUGAAGUGGGCUACAGCAUCCGCCUCAUGGGCCCAGCUUCCCUUGCUAGUCGCCGUCGACGUCUCCCGCACUGAUGUCUCUCCAAAUGCUGUCGCUCGUCUAAUCUCCCACUCCAAAACCCUCGAGCUUAUAUGUGCUCUUAACUGCAAAUUCGUCGAAGAGGAACAAGCACACAGUCCCACUGCAUUUAGCAACUCCAAGGGCAAGCUUGUGCUUACCAUCACAUGCCCCAUUUUUAAAUCACUCGCUUCACUGUUUCCUGGCGAGGCUGUGGAGGAGCACGGCGUGUUCAAUGAGUGUAAUUGGAGGAACAAAAGGAAAAUACUUGGUGUCAUGAUGAACUGGCUCGAGUGGGUCCUAUCACAGUCGCUUCUUCGGAUUGCGGAGUGCAAUCCAUAUGGCAUGGAUGACUUCUGGUUGCAGCAGGGCACAUCAAUGCUGCUGAGCCUGGUGAAGAGCUCACAGGAGGAUGUGCAGGAGCGUGCAGCUACAACAAUUGCUACAUUUGUGGUUAUUGACGAUGAAACUGCGAAUGUGGAUGCUGCAAGGUCGGAGGCGGUAAUGCGGGAUGGAGGCAUUCCACUUCUGCUGGACCUUGCAAGGUGCUCAAGGGUGAGUGCACAGUCUGAAGCAGCAAAGGCUAUUGCCAACCUAUCGGUGAAUGCAAAGGUUGCAAAGGUGGUUGCAGAUGAAGGAGGUAUCGCCAUUUUCACUAAUUUGGCUAAGUCGACGAAUCGACUUGUUGCUGAAGAAGCUGCUGGUGGCCUUUGGAAUCUCUCCGUGGGUGAGGAGCACAAGGCGGCUAUUGCGGCAGCUGGUGGUAUAAAGGCUUUGGUUGAUCUUAUAUUUCGUUGGCCUGCUGGGACUGAUGGAGUUCUUGAACGUGCUGCUGGUGCGCUUGCAAACCUAGCUGCUGAUGACAAGUGCAGCCUGGAAGUCGCAAAGGCUGGUGGUGUCCAUGCUUUGGUUACACUUGCUCGAUCAUGUAAACUUGAGGGCGUCCUAGAACAGGCGGCAAGGGCUCUAGCCAACUUAGCUGCACAUGGAGAUAACAACAACAAUAAUGCGGCUGUAGGUCAGGAAGCAGGGGCUCUUGAGGCAUUAGUGCAACUAACAUGUUCUCAAAACGAGGGUGUAAGGCAAGAGGCUGCUGGUGCUUUGUGGAACCUAUCAUUUGAUGAUAGGAAUCGUGAAGCUAUUGCUGCUGCGGGGGGUGUUGAAGCAUUGGUUUCACUUGCACAACAAUGUCUGAAUGCUUCGGAAGGCCUUCAGGAGAGAGCUGCUGGCGCAUUAUGGGGACUAUCUGUCUCAGAAUCGAACAGCAUCGCAAUUGGGCAGGAGGGUGGCGUUGCACCAUUGCUCACAAUGGCACAGUCAGAGGUUGAAGAUGUUCAUGAGACAGCUGCAGGGGCAUUGUGGAAUCUUGCUUUCUAUUCCAGCAAUGCUCACCGUAUAGUUGAAGAAGGUGGGGUGCCUAUCCUUGUGCACCUUUGCUCAUCAUCAGGGUCAAAGAUGGCUCGGUUCAUGUCUGCGCUAGCCCUUGCCUAUAUGUUUGAUGGAAGAAUGGAUGAGGCCGCCAUUGUUGGGACAUCGUCUGAGGGCAGUUCCAAAGGUGUUAACGUCGAGGGAGCUAGAAGAAUGGCUUUGAAGCAUAUAGAGACCUUUGUGUUGACGUUUUCAGAUCCACAGGUGUUCUCUAUGGCUGCAGCUUCCUCAGCACCAGCAGCGCUAUCUCAGGUUGCCGAAGCAGUGUUCAUACAAGAAGCUGGACACCUGAGAUGCAGUGGUGCUGAGAUAGGUAGAUUUAUUGCCAUGCUUCGGAAUCCUACACCAGUUCUUCGUGCGUGUGCCGCAUUUGCCCUUCUUCAGUUCUCAAUCCCGGGAGGUCGACAUGCAACACACCAUGCGGACCUUCUGCAAAAUGUAGGAGCGGCUCGGGUCUUGCGUGCAGCGGCGGCAGCAACAUCAGCUUCCAUUGAGGCCAAAGUGUUCGCCAGAAUUGUCCUUAGGAAUCUGGAACACCAUCAGGCAGGGACUUCAACCUGA